AGAGUUUGAUCAUGGCUCAGGAUGAACGCUAGCGGGAGGCUUAACACAUGCAAGUCGAGGGGCAGCACGAGGUAGCAAUACUUUGGUGGCGACCGGCGCACGGGUGAGUAACACGUAUGCAACCUACCCUGUACAGGGGGAUAGCCCGGAGAAAUUCGGAUUAAUACCCCAUAAAGAUAUUUUGGGGCAUCUUAAGAUAUUUAAAGUUUCGACGGUACGGGAUGGGCAUGCGUAACAUUAGCUAGUUGGUAGGGUAAUGGCCUACCAAGGCUACGAUGUUUAGGGGUCCUGAGAGGGUGAUCCCCCACACUGGUACUGAGACACGGACCAGACUCCUACGGGAGGCAGCAGUGAGGAAUAUUGGUCAAUGGGCGCAAGCCUGAACCAGCCAUCCCGCGUGCAGGAAGACGGCGCUAUGCGUUGUAAACUGCUUUUCCAGGGGAAGAAAACCCGCUACGAGUAGCGGCUUGCCGGUACCCUGGGAAUAAGCAUCGGCUAACUCCGUGCCAGCAGCCGCGGUAAUACGGAGGAUGCGAGCGUUAUCCGGAUUUAUUGGGUUUAAAGGGUGCGUAGGCGGAUUAAUAAGUCAGUGGUGAAAACCUGCAGCUUAACUGUAGAACUGCCAUUGAUACUGUUAGUCUUGAGUACGGUCAAGGUAGGCGGAAUGUGUAAUGUAGCGGUGAAAUGCUUAGAUAUUACACAGAACACCGAUUGCGAAGGCAGCUUACUGGGCCAUUACUGACGCUGAUGCACGAAAGCGUGGGGAGCGAACAGGAUUAGAUACCCUAGUAGUCC
This 795-nucleotide ribosomal RNA is filed under the name uncultured bacterium. RNAcentral describes it as "bacterial SSU rRNA". It matches the Rfam family "Bacterial small subunit ribosomal RNA", at positions 8 to 796 of the family's 1533-position model. The record is from RNAcentral.